UACGGGGGGAGCAAGCGUUGUUCGGAAUCACUGGGCGUAAAGGGAGUCUAGGCGGUUUGGUAAGUGGGAUGUGAAAUCCCCGGGCUCACCCCGGGACCUGCAUCCCAAACUGCUGAGCUUGAGUACAGGAGAGGGUGGGGGAAUUCCAGGUGUAGCGGUGAAAUGCGUAGAUAUCAGGAGGAACACCGAUGGCGAAGGCAGGUCUCUGGGCCACUACUGACGCUGAGAAGCGAAAGCGUGGGGAGCGAACAGG
This 253-nucleotide ribosomal RNA is filed under the name uncultured bacterium. Its description in RNAcentral is "partial 16S ribosomal RNA". It matches the Rfam family "Bacterial small subunit ribosomal RNA", at positions 524 to 776 of the family's 1533-position model. The record is from RNAcentral.